GUGUCACUGGGCUUAAAGGGUGUGUAGGCGGGAACGUAAGCGCUUUGUGAAAUCCCCCGGCUUAACCGGGGAAUUGCUUGGCGAACUGCGUUUCUUGAGGCAAGCAGGGGUACAUGGAACUCUUGGUGGAGCGGUGGAAUGCGUAGAUAUCAAGAGGAACGCCGAUGGUGAAGACAGUGUACUGGGCUUGUCCUGACGCUGAAACACGAAAGCGUGGGGAGCAAACGGGAUUAGAUACCCCGGUAGUCCACGCUGUAAACGAUGUCUACUAGGUUGCGGUGGUUCUGACACCGGCGCGACCGAAGCGAAAGUGUUUAGUAGACCGCCUGGGGAGUACGGUCGCAAGGCUAAAACUCAAAGGAAUUGACGGGGGCUCACACAAGCGGUGGAGUAUGUGGAUUAAUUCGAAGCAACGCGCAGAACCUUACCUGGGUUUGACAUGCUUGGAUGCCCGCCAUGAAAGUGGUUGGGCUGCCCGCAAGGGUGAAACUUGCACAGGUGCUGCAUGGCUGUCGUCAGCUCGUGUCGUGAGAUGUCGGGUUAAGUCCUUUAACGAGCGAAACCCUUGCCGUUAGUUACCAGCGGGUCAUGCCGGGAACUCAUAGCGCGGACUGCCGGUGUUAAACCGGAGGAAGGUGGGGAUGACGUCAAGUCAUCAUGGCCUUUAUGCCCAGGGCCUCACACGUACUACAAUGGCGACUACAGAGCGACGCAAGACCGCGAGGUGGAGCAAAUGCAAAAAAGUCGCCUCAUUCGGAUUGUAGGCUGGCAAUUCGCCUGCAUGAAGUCGGAAUCGCUAGUAAUCGCAUAUCAGCUAU
This 818-nucleotide ribosomal RNA is filed under the name uncultured Planctomycetota bacterium. Its description in RNAcentral is "bacterial SSU rRNA". It matches the Rfam family "Bacterial small subunit ribosomal RNA", at positions 547 to 1356 of the family's 1533-position model. The record is from RNAcentral. Lineage: Bacteria; Pseudomonadati; Planctomycetota.